UCCAGACUCCUACGGGAGGCAGCAGUGGGGAAUAUUGCACAAUGGGGGGAACCCUGAUGCAGCGACGCCGCGUGGGUGAAGAAGUCAUUCGUGACGUAAAGCCCUAUCAGCAGGGAAGAAAAUGACGGUACCUGACUAAGAAGCCCCGGCUAACUACGUGCCAGCAGCCGCGGUAAUACGUAGGGGGCGAGCGUUAUCCGGAUUCACUGGGCGUAAAGGGAGCGCAGGCGGCACGGCAAGUCCGGUGUGAAAGCCGGGGGCCCAACCCCGGGACUGCACUGGAAACUGCCGGGCUGGAGUGUCGGAGGGGCAGGCGGAAUUCCUAGUGUAGCGGUGAAAUGCGUAGAUAUUAGGAGGAACACCGGUGGCGAAGGCGGCCUGCUGGACGACGACUGACGCUGAGGCUCGAAAGCGUGGGGAGCAAACAGGAUUAGAUACCCCAGUA
This 445-nucleotide ribosomal RNA is filed under the name uncultured bacterium. RNAcentral describes it as "partial 16S ribosomal RNA". It matches the Rfam family "Bacterial small subunit ribosomal RNA", at positions 330 to 792 of the family's 1533-position model. The record is from RNAcentral.